RNAcentral lists this transfer RNA (83 nucleotides) under Anaerobranca californiensis DSM 14826. Its description in RNAcentral is "tRNA_Leu_TAG". It matches the Rfam family "tRNA". Rfam says of the family: Transfer RNA (tRNA) molecules are approximately 80 nucleotides in length. Their secondary structure includes four short double-helical elements and three loops (D, anti-codon, and T loops). Further hydrogen bonds mediate the characteristic L-shaped molecular structure. tRNAs have two regions of fundamental functional importance: the anti-codon, which is responsible for specific mRNA codon recognition, and the 3' end, to which the tRNAs corresponding amino acid is attached (by aminoacyl-tRNA synthetases). tRNAs cope with the degeneracy of the genetic code in two manners: having more than one tRNA (with a specific anti-codon) for a particular amino acid; and 'wobble' base-pairing, i.e. permitting non-standard base-pairing at the 3rd anti-codon position. Lineage: Bacteria; Bacillati; Bacillota; Clostridia; Eubacteriales; Proteinivoracaceae. The record is from RNAcentral.
GCGAGGAUGGUGGAACUGGCAGACACGCUAGACUUAGGAUCUAGUGCUUCGGCGUGAGGGUUCGACUCCCUCUCCUCGCACCA